RNAcentral lists this ribosomal RNA (253 nucleotides) under uncultured bacterium. RNAcentral's name for it is "partial 16S ribosomal RNA". It matches the Rfam family "Bacterial small subunit ribosomal RNA", at positions 524 to 776 of the family's 1533-position model. The record is from RNAcentral.
UACGAAGGGGGCUAGCGUUGCUCGGAAUCACUGGGCGUAAAGGGUGCGUAGGCGGGUCUUUAAGUCAGGGGUGAAAUCCUGGAGCUCAACUCCAGAACUGCCUUUGAUACUGAGGAUCUUGAGUUCGGGAGAGGUGAGUGGAACUGCGAGUGUAGAGGUGAAAUUCGUAGAUAUCGGGAGGAACACCAGUGGCGAAGGCGGCGAUCUGGACAGAUAUUGACGCUGAGGUGCGAAAGCGUGGGGAGCAAACAGG